Molecule: ribosomal RNA, 1030 nt
Filed under: Bacillus sp. 670B5_12EMannit
Lineage: Bacteria; Bacillati; Bacillota; Bacilli; Caryophanales; Bacillaceae
Description: bacterial SSU rRNA
Rfam family: Bacterial small subunit ribosomal RNA
Source: RNAcentral
UGCAAGUCGAGCGGACCGACGGGAGCUUGCUCCCUUAGGUCAGCGGCGGACGGGUGAGUAACACGUGGGUAACCUGCCUGUAAGACUGGGAUAACUCCGGGAAACCGGGGCUAAUACCGGAUGCUUGAUUGAACCGCAUGGUUCAAUCAUAAAAGGUGGCUUUUAGCUACCACUURCAGAUGGACCCGCGGCGCAUUAGCUAGUUGGUGAGGUAACGGCUCACCAAGGCGACGAUGCGUAGCCGACCUGAGAGGGUGAUCGGCCACACUGGGACUGAGACACGGCCCAGACUCCUACGGGAGGCAGCAGUAGGGAAUCUUCCGCAAUGGACGAAAGUCUGACGGAGCAACGCCGCGUGAGUGAUGAAGGUUUUCGGAUCGUAAAACUCUGUUGUUAGGGAAGAACAAGUACCGUUCGAAUAGGGCGGYACCUUGACGGUACCUAACCAGAAAGCCACGGCUAACUACGUGCCAGCAGCCGCGGUAAUACGUAGGUGGCAAGCGUUGUCCGGAAUUAUUGGGCGUAAAGCGCGCGCAGGCGGUUUCUUAAGUCUGAUGUGAAAGCCCCCGGCUCAACCGGGGAGGGUCAUUGGAAACUGGGGAACUUGAGUGCAGAAGAGGAGAGUGGAAUUCCACGUGUAGCGGUGAAAUGCGUAGAGAUGUGGAGGAACACCAGUGGCGAAGGCGACUCUCUGGUCUGUAACUGACGCUGAGGCGCGAAAGCGUGGGGAGCGAACAGGAUUAGAUACCCUGGUAGUCCACGCCGUAAACGAUGAGUGCUAAGUGUUAGAGGGUUUCCGCCCUUUAGUGCUGCAGCAAACGCAUUAAGCACUCCGCCUGGGGAGUACGGUCGCAAGACUGAAACUCAAAGGAAUUGACGGGGGCCCGCACAAGCGGUGGAGCAUGUGGUUUAAUUCGAAGCAACGCGAAGAACCUUACCAGGUCUUGACAUCCUCUGACAACCCUAGAGAUAGGGCUUCCCCUUCGGGGGCAAAAUGACAGGUGGUGCAUGGUUGUCGUCAGCUCCUGUC